RNAcentral lists this ribosomal RNA (119 nucleotides) under uncultured bacterium. RNAcentral's name for it is "partial 16S ribosomal RNA". It matches the Rfam family "Bacterial small subunit ribosomal RNA", at positions 1365 to 1482 of the family's 1533-position model. The record is from RNAcentral.
AAUACGUUCCCGGGCCUUGUACACACCGCCCGUCACACCACGGAAGCGAGUAACACCCGAAGCCGGUGGCCUAACCCUUUGGGAGGGAGCCGUCGAAGGUGGGACCCGUGACUGGGGUG